This 497-nucleotide ribosomal RNA is filed under the name uncultured bacterium. RNAcentral describes it as "partial 16S ribosomal RNA". It matches the Rfam family "Bacterial small subunit ribosomal RNA", at positions 28 to 507 of the family's 1533-position model. The record is from RNAcentral.
GAUGAACGCUGGCGGCGUGCCUAAUACAUGCAAGUCGAGCGAACGGACGAGAAGCUUGCUUCUCUGAUGUUAGCGGCGGACGGGUGAGUAACACGUGGAUAACCUACCUAUAAGACUGGGAUAACUUCGGGAAACCGUAGCUAAUACCGGAUAAUAUUUUGAACAGCAUGGUUCAAAAGUGAAAGACGGUCUUGCUGUCACUUAUAGAUGGAUCCGCGCUGCAUUAGCUAGUUGGUAAGGUAACGGCCUACCAAGGCAACGAUGCGUAGCCGAUCUGAGAGGGUGAUCGGCCACACUGGAACUGAGACACGGUCCAGACUCCUACGGGAGGCAGCAGUAGGGAAUCUUCCGCAAAGGGCGAAAGCCUGACGGAGCAACGCCGCGUGAGUGAUGAAGGUCUUCGGAUCGUAAAGCUCUGUUAUUAGGGAAGAACAUCUGUGUAAGUAACUGUGGACAUCUUGACGGUACCUAAUCAGAAAGCAACGGCUAACUACGUG